RNAcentral lists this transfer RNA (73 nucleotides) under Canis lupus familiaris (dog). It matches the Rfam family "tRNA". From Rfam's summary of the family: Transfer RNA (tRNA) molecules are approximately 80 nucleotides in length. Their secondary structure includes four short double-helical elements and three loops (D, anti-codon, and T loops). RNAcentral also lists the same sequence under 1 other name. Lineage: Eukaryota; Metazoa; Chordata; Mammalia; Carnivora; Canidae. The record is from Rfam by way of RNAcentral.
GCCUGGCUGGCUCAGUCAGUGGAGCAUGCAACUCUCAAUCUUGGGAUCAUAGGUUCAAGCCCUAUGUUGGGUA